GGGUAGACCGCAACAGACGGAAAAAACGGAAAGUGUCCAUUAAAUUGCGGCGUCCUGGAUGCGAAGAGAUUGUUGUUCAAGGGCCUUUGCCAAAGGAUUGGCAAGGUUUCUCAGUCAAGUUUGCCGAGUCCCUUAAAGCUUGCUAUGCAGAUAGGUCAUACUACGGCCCUCCGGAUUUCUUGUGCCAAUACUGUGGUGCCUCCUUUUGGUUUGCUGAGUGUUCAAAGUCCAGGUCAUCCUGGACACAGCGUAAGAUGGUUUAUAAUCGCUGUUGUAAAGGCGCUAAGGUAUAUAUCCCUCCCUUUAAGGAUCCCCCGGCCUAUCUCCGGGAGCUCCUUCGAUUCGAUGGUACUUCUCGUGCUAAAAAAUUCAUCCGGACUAUACGUGAGUACAACUGUAUGUUCGCUUUCACUUCGAUGGGUGCUACCAUUGAACGCUCGUUUGGUGGCAGCCGUGGACCUAAGAUUUUUAAGAUCAGUGGUCAAGUGUCUCAUCGUAUUGGUUCGUUGGUGCCUAGCGGUGAUGAUACCCCUAAGUUUGCUGAGUUGUAUAUACAUGACCCAGCUAAUGAGAUUAGACAUAGGAUGAAUGCCUUAAAUCCAGAGGAUAAGCCUA
Molecule: non-coding RNA, 615 nt
Organism: Triticum urartu
Lineage: Eukaryota; Viridiplantae; Streptophyta; Magnoliopsida; Poales; Poaceae
Source: RefSeq, a predicted model, not a curated record